AAGUGUGGAAGAAAACAAUCAGUGGAAGUGAUAGAAGUUGCCAGCCUCGCAGAACUCUAUUUAUGAACAAAGGUGUACACUAAGUUCUCCCUUUCUUCUCUCUGCAUUUUUGGCGUUGAGUUGAGUCUAACUGGGCUCUUUCAGAAAUAUUGUAUGUUGUGGACAACAAAGCAAGCAAAUGUUAGUUUUAGUUCAUUGGUCCAAGGUACAGUGAUCUAUAGGCUCAAUUAUCUUCUGUUUUCUCCCUUGUUGAAUGAUGACAUAGCAAUUACCUUUCUAUCAUCUGCCAGAUCAACUUCUAGUGCAUUACUUGCUUAGUUCAUUCACAUGUGCUUUAAAGGCGCAAAGCUGCAAAGGUACAUGUUCAGAGAACCCUAGCAGUAGUGAUGUAACUGAAUGGCGCCACCAUAGAUUCUGCUAUUGUACUGUGAUUUUUCCUCUAUAGUUUUUCCCCCGCCUAAUUCAAUGACAUUAUUACUUUUCCGUUUGUGUUGUAGCCUUGUAGCCCUUUGGAAUGGCAG
This 521-nucleotide unclassified non-coding RNA is filed under the name Hevea brasiliensis (rubber tree). Lineage: Eukaryota; Viridiplantae; Streptophyta; Magnoliopsida; Malpighiales; Euphorbiaceae. The record is from RNAcentral.